Molecule: ribosomal RNA, 54 nt
Filed under: Penicillium sp. MH7
Lineage: Eukaryota; Fungi; Ascomycota; Eurotiomycetes; Eurotiales; Aspergillaceae
Description: partial 18S ribosomal RNA
Source: RNAcentral
ACACUAGUGAUUUUCCGUAGGUGAACCUGCGGAAGGAUCAUUACCGAGUGAGGG